Onychostruthus taczanowskii (white-rumped snowfinch) is the source of this 1276-nucleotide RNA transcript. It is a transcript of the gene named unc-50 inner nuclear membrane RNA binding protein, with no coding region annotated. The transcript is spliced from 7 exons. NCBI's taxonomy places the organism in Eukaryota, Metazoa, Chordata, Aves, Passeriformes, Passeridae. The record is from RefSeq and is a predicted model, not a curated record.
AUGGUGGCGAGCCCGGCGCUACGCUCCGCUGCCGCCCGCCCCGCGGCCACCGCCGACCGCCACCGCCAUGCCGGGCGCCGCGGCCGCUUCCGGCGGGAGCAGGAAGGGACGGGGCGGCUCGGGAAGGAUCCCGAGCGCCUGCGCCACGGACGGUGCCGGAAGGCUGCGGGAGGCGGCCGUGGUGGCGGUGCCGGGCGGGGCGGGGGUCGCGCCGCGGGCCGGGGCAGCAGCAAGAUGCUGCCGACCACGCUGGUUAAUUCUGGGAGCCAGGGCAAUGGUGUGCUGAGCCGCAGAGAUGCUGCGAGGCACACGGCCGGAGCAAAACGCUACAAGUACCUCCGGAGGCUCUUCCACUUCCGACAGAUGGACUUCGAGUUUGCCCUUUGGCAGAUGCUUUACCUGUUCACUUCACCACAGAGGGUUUACAGGAACUUUCACUACAGAAAACAGACAAAGGACCAAUGGGCAAGAGAUGAUCCUGCUUUCCUAGUGCUACUCAGUAUCUGGCUUUGCGUGUCUACUGUAGGAUUUGGAUUUGUGUUGGACAUGGGUUUUUUUGAAACAAUAAAACUGCUACUUUGGGUUGUAUUCAUAGACUGCGUAGGCGUGGGGCUCCUGAUUGCAACUCUGAUGUGGUUCAUUUCAAAUAAGUACUUGGUGAAGCAGCAGAACAGAGAUUAUGAUGUGGAGUGGGGAUAUGCCUUUGAUGUACAUCUGAAUGCUUUCUACCCUCUUCUAGUCAUCCUGCAUUUUAUCCAGCUGUUCUUCAUCAACUAUGUCAUCAUAUCUGAUUCUGUCAUUGGGUAUUUUGUUGGGAAUACGUUAUGGCUGAUUGCAAUCGGCUAUUACAUCUACGUGACAUUCCUAGGAUACAGUGGAUGAACUCUGCAGAUCCCUUCUGAAACACUUCUGGGAACUUAGCCAAGUCAAUAUUUUGCCAGAUGCCAUCAUCCACUGCAAGAAUGAUUAUUCACCAAUUCUAUCCAGCAUUUUUGAUCACUGGAUGCAAAUGUGGUAAAAGAAAACUAAUCUACCUCCUUUGUGUCACUUUCUCAGAAUCCUAAUUAGGAAGUGUUAUUCUACUGUCACUGGAAACCAGUAUUAACCAUGCACUAUUUCCUCAUGCAAAACACAAACAGAAGAUGAAUCAUUUCUUUUCCUUCUCUCAAGCUCAAUUUAUUCUCCUAUUCUUCGUGCCUCUUACUAAGUAAUUUGAAAAAACUGCUUAUACUUUCAAAAAAAGUGUAAUUCCUCCAGUCUAUAUAUAUGCAUCUGC